Molecule: ribosomal RNA, 484 nt
Filed under: uncultured bacterium
Lineage: Bacteria
Description: partial 16S ribosomal RNA
Rfam family: Bacterial small subunit ribosomal RNA
Source: RNAcentral
AUUGAACGCUGGCGGCAGGCCUAACACAUGCAAGUCGAGCGGAUGAAGGGAGCUUGCUCCUGGAUUCAGCGGCGGACGGGUGAGUAAUGCCUAGGAAUCUGCCUGGUAGUGGGGGAUAACGUCCGGAAACGGGCGCUAAUACCGCAUACGUCCUGAGGGAGAAAGUGGGGGAUCUUCGGACCUCACGCUAUCAGAUGAGCCUAGUUCGGAUUAGCUAGUUGGUGGGGUAAAGGCCUACCAAGGCGACGAUCCGUAACUGGUCUGAGAGGAUGAUCAGUCACACUGGAACUGAGACACGGUCCAGACUACUACGGGAGGCAGCAGUGGGGAAUAUUGGACAAUGGGCGAAAGCCUGAUCCAGCAAUGCCGCGUGUGUGAAGAAGGUCUUCGGAUUGUAAAGCACUUUAAGUUGGGAGGAAGGGCAGUAAGUUAAUACCUUGCUGUUUUGACGUUACCAACAGAAUAAGCACCGGCUAACUUCGUG